CGUGGGUAACCUGCCCAAGAGACUGGGAUAACACCUGGAAACAGAUGCUAAUACCGGAUAACAACACUAGACGCAUGUCUAGAGUUUAAAAGAUGGUUCUGCUAUCACUCUUGGAUGGACCUGCGGUGCAUUAGCUAGUUGGUAAGGUAACGGCUUACCAAGGCAAUGACGCAUAGCCGAGUUGAGAGACUGAUCGGCCACAUUGGGACUGAGACACGGUCCAAACUCCUACGGGAGGCAGCAGCG
This 246-nucleotide ribosomal RNA is filed under the name uncultured bacterium. RNAcentral's name for it is "partial 16S ribosomal RNA". It matches the Rfam family "Bacterial small subunit ribosomal RNA", at positions 116 to 356 of the family's 1533-position model. The record is from RNAcentral.